This is a long non-coding RNA of Zophobas morio, 767 nucleotides long. RefSeq lists it as uncharacterized. The transcript has 3 exons. Lineage: Eukaryota; Metazoa; Arthropoda; Insecta; Coleoptera; Tenebrionidae. The record is from RefSeq and is a predicted model, not a curated record.
AGGUAUUUCGAUUCAGGUCAGACAACAAACAAUACUCAAUUCCCACCAUAUAUCAAAUAAAGGAAAUUUACUUGUAUAUCCUGCCACGCUGACUGUUUAAAUUUAAGAUGGUUUUCUUUACUUGAUGAAAAAAGUGUUCGAGUGACAAAACGUGGCAAACCAAUUUUUCUGUACUUUUUGUACUUAUGGAUUUUCCAAAUGUCUCUCAAAAGUUUGAAUCCUUCGAAAAAGAGCAUUAAAAAUGCUUGCAGUUAAAUAUUUAUUUGCAAACACAACUGCUAAAUCUGUUUACAAUUAUUAAAAAAUGUUUCGACUUCAAAUAGGACAGCUACAUGGAAAAGAAGACAGUGAAACUCAUACAUAGAAAAAUGCCCCAUGGAAACUAAAAUUCAAAAUUUGUAGUACACACUUGAAUAUAGCUGUGGUUAAAUCAAAAACUUUGUUUCAGAGGACAGGUGUGUGUAAGACAUCUUUCUUUGAAUUGCUUAAUUGUGCUUCAUAGUAUAUGAUUUGUACAGCAAAAGGUUUUUAUUACAAAAUCUCUAACACACGAAACAGCAAUACAGUUUUAUGAGGAAAAAAUACAAAAUUGCAGAUGCUUAUAAUAAGAUAAGUGACUUCAUAACUUCCACUUGACAGUAGAAUUAGAACAGAUCCAAUAUAAUACAAUGCAGGCAUAAGAUGUGCAUGUCCAUGCAAAUGAACAUUUAAAAACAAAUUGGAAGAGAAAUAAUAAGAAAGGUGGACUCAUAACUUAAGAGCAGCGU